RNAcentral lists this ribosomal RNA (441 nucleotides) under uncultured bacterium. RNAcentral describes it as "partial 16S ribosomal RNA". It matches the Rfam family "Bacterial small subunit ribosomal RNA", at positions 338 to 795 of the family's 1533-position model. The record is from RNAcentral.
CCUACGGGAGGCAGCAGUGAGGAAUAUUGGGCAAUGGACGCAAGUCUGACCCAGCAACGCCGCGUGAAGGAAGAAGGCUUUCGGGUUGUAAACUUCUUUUAAGGGGGAAGAGCAGAAGACGGUACCCCUUGAAUAAGCCACGGCUAACUACGUGCCAGCAGCCGCGGUAAUACGUAGGUGGCAAGCGUUGUCCGGAUUUACUGGGUUUAAAGGGUGCGUAGGCGGUCCGGAAAGUCAGCGGUAAAAGCCCGGGGCUCAACCCCGGCGAGCCGUUGAAACUGUCGGACUAGAGACGGCGAGAAGUACGCGGAAUGCGCGGUGUAGCGGUGAAAUGCAUAGAUAUCGCGCAGAACUCCGAUUGCGAAGGCAGCGUACCGGCGCCGGACUGACGCUGAGGCACGAAAGCGUGGGUAUCGAACAGGAUUAGAUACCCCUGUAGUC